UGCUCUAAAGUUAUUUAUGAACUCUUUUAACC
RNAcentral lists this non-coding RNA (32 nucleotides) under Mus musculus (house mouse). Lineage: Eukaryota; Metazoa; Chordata; Mammalia; Rodentia; Muridae. The record is from RNAcentral.